GGGAGAAGUGACAUAUUGAUAAUAGUGACCUUGUUAUUAAUGUUGGUGUAGCUCUGUGAUAGAAAUUACAACUCUUAAAAUUGAGAAACAGUGAUAAAAUUAAGCAUAUCAUCCAUAUUAAAGCUGGCUUCACGGUUUAUUGUGGUACAGAGAAUCUUGAUCACUAAAAGACAAUUCAGUUAACAGACAGGUUAUGUAAAGUUCGAAAAUAUCAUAUGCCAUAUAGUAUUCUUUGACCAGAGAUUCUCCAGUUGCUGAAACAGCAUCAUCCAAAUCAAGACCUCCCCGCAACCUUCAGCUCGCUUGAUCAAUCCAAUUUGAGAAGAAACACUUUCCCAGAAAACAAUAACGUUCGUCAGUAUUUCAGAAGCAGCAAUUGUGCGAUCAAAUGAAAAUAUGAAGUUAAAAUCAACUUCAUCUGUCAGAUGAAAAUUUAUUCUGUAACUUUUCAUAAGCUGUCAGAUUACAGACAAAUCAAAUCAAAACUAUCGGGUCUUUCUUUUUUUUUCCCUCCCAAUCAACUCAACUUCCAAUUCACUAAUAUUAAUUCCUUUUUUGCAUUCACAACUAACAGAGGAGCUAAGGAGUAAUUUUCCAAGGAAACCAAAGACUAAAGCAACAGAAGAGUCUUGGUCACAGUCUUUCAUGCCUCAGGCUUUGAGGCCACUUGAAACUAUAAGUUCCUGAAACAUAUAGUCCAAGCCUUUCUGAAGCCAAAUGAUGCAGAGUUCUGGAAAAAUGACUGGCUUCUAAACUGCAUAUCAACUAUCAUCUACUGAUAUGCUUGAAAAGGAAACAACCCCAGAAUAAGAAGCGUCAGCAAUUUUGGUCAAUUGCAACUACAAGAAUGAGCAUGAGCACCCUGUCUUUUUAGUAGAAUCUUUCUGCAGCUUGUCUGAAAAAAUAAAAAAAAUAAAAAGAAUUAACUCUUUCUUUGCGACAUGCACUUUUCAUGUGUUUCAUUUUGUUUCUUGGUACAUGUAGAAUGCAUAUCCAUGAAAUCUAGUUUAAUUGUUCAGUGUUCAAAUACAUGCUUCAUGGUACUAGCAGACUAUAAUUUGAACCCUUGCUUCCCCAUCACCAUUCCUUAAAGAAUGUACCCAAAAAGAAAAAAGUAACAUUUUAGUCCCUCAUCUUUUCACUUGUUUGAGUUUAUGGGGUUGUUCCAUUUGAAACUCAAAUGACUAAAAUGUUGUUAUUUGAUAUUUUAAAGGAAGUAUAUUUUGACAACGUCUGCAUGUUAAAUGUUACAAACAAACAUACAUAUAUAUAUAUCUUAGUAAUUACAAAAUGAUGUGUGCAUUACCACUGUUUUUGUCUGGCAUGGGAGGACGCAGAACAACAUGCAUGGUGAUGACACCUCCUGGAAGUUCACUGACUGGAAGUCUGGAUUCAGCAAGUGUCCUGUUGUUUUCCAGUAUCUUUCCAGCAUUUAUGAGUUUCACAUCAUUUAAAGUAUUUGGACCAUUUUCUUUAUCUGCCAAUUAAAAAUGGUGACUCAUUAGCAAAAGUAAAAUUGUUAGAUACCAAACGAGAGCUUUGUAAUCACUAAACUAUACAGAAUUUCAGGAAUUGGGGCUUCCUUCUGUUCUUUUUCUUUUUGUCAUGUGUGUGGGCUAGAUGCAAGCUAUUGCUGCCAAUUCUCCAUCUAACAGUAAGUUUCAGACUUAAAAGUACAAAAUGCAGAACAAGAGCUCUGCAAAGCAAAGCGACGCUGAUACGUCUAUAAUAGAGAAGGCCAAAUUACUAAUUCAAAUUUCAAAACACAGCAUUGCACCAUUCUCAUUCUGAAUUUGUUAUGUAUACUGAACCAUAGAGCGGGGCAUCUUCUUUUCAGCUACAAAAAGCUUGGACAAGGCAAAAUGAACAACAGUAACAGCAAUAGUGUUCAUUUAGACAUCAACGUUUGUUUUAGCAACAAAGCAGAACUAUUUAAAGACAAUAAUCACUACUUCACCAAGUUCAAUCUAUUUUAGCAUGUAAUUUUAUCUAAAUCUACUUGCAGGAUUUUCAUCUCAUAAAGAGCUUCUAGAAUUGGGUAUAAUAGAUUGCUUGAAGGUCAGAAAAACAAGUACACCACCAACAAACUUAUGGAAUAAUUUGGAAUCCAAAUAAUAAGGAUAAUUGCAUUUUGAUAGGAUAAAGGUAGACAAGGCAGAUAAAAAAUCAUUAUCAGCAAGGAAGAACAAGCGAACACUUAAAAUCAAAGUUUCCUACCUAACACCCCAACUGAUACGCAGUAACAAAGAUUAAAGCACAAGAACAAAACUUUCAGACAAUUACCCAGAUUUUAAAACAAUGAAUCAAAAACCAAGAAGCAAAUAUAUGAAACGGUAACCUGAAAGAGUCAACACAGUCACACAUAAUAAUUCAAGAUGCAUGAAAGUCAAUACAGGAGAUAAAAAGAUUUUUAACCUUUUGGCCACUGUGCAAUUAUCUUUUCUUUGAGAGUUGCCACUGUUGUCGCGGGACUAUAUUUGCUUGGCCCAAUAUCAGUACCAUCUGCCAGCCUGAAUUUGAGUUCAAUAAAAUCUUCUCUUGCCAUUGAUAAAUGAAUUUACCAAAACCCCACCUCAAAUUUUCAUACUAACUCCAAACUCUUGAAAAGAUCCAAGUAAUCCUCUCUGUGAAGCCUCUCUUAACGAAAAUUUUCAGCAGAGAAUACCGAAAAUAAAUUAUCUUCCAAUCAAUCGAUCGAGAACAGAGAACCGAGAACCCAGACCAAAUAUAUUGUGAAUAGUGAUCUUGACCUAAAAAAUCCACAAAAGAAACAGAUUCUCAACAGAUUUUGAUUAAAAACGUGUGCUUUUUUCACUUGAGAAAUAGUUUUCUAAAUCCCCAGAUCCUAUAUCCCCAUGCUAUAACCAAGAGAGUGUAUUGUGCCACUGAUGAGAAAUGAAUGACGGGAACCCACGGCUUUAUGUAGAGAGAGAUAGAGGGUGGGGGGAAGAGAGGAAGGGAGUAGCCAAUGGAAGUUUUCAAAGUGACGGUUUAC
This 2995-nucleotide unclassified non-coding RNA is filed under the name Hevea brasiliensis (rubber tree). The record is from RNAcentral. Lineage: Eukaryota; Viridiplantae; Streptophyta; Magnoliopsida; Malpighiales; Euphorbiaceae.